GUGCUUGCUUCGGCAGCACAUAUACUAACAUUGGAACGACACAGAGAAGAUUAGCACGUUCCC
This 63-nucleotide small nuclear RNA is filed under the name Panthera leo (lion). Lineage: Eukaryota; Metazoa; Chordata; Mammalia; Carnivora; Felidae. The record is from RNAcentral. RNAcentral also lists the same sequence under 1 other name.